Molecule: ribosomal RNA, 1236 nt
Filed under: Acinetobacter schindleri
Lineage: Bacteria; Pseudomonadati; Pseudomonadota; Gammaproteobacteria; Moraxellales; Moraxellaceae
Description: bacterial SSU rRNA
Rfam family: Bacterial small subunit ribosomal RNA
Source: RNAcentral
AGCGGCGGACGGGUGAGUAAUGCUUAGGAAUCUGCCUAUUAGUGGGGGACAACAUUCCGAAAGGAAUGCUAAUACCGCAUACGCCCUACGGGGGAAAGCAGGGGAUCUUCGGACCUUGCGCUAAUAGAUGAGCCUAAGUCGGAUUAGCUAGUUGGUGGGGUAAAGGCCUACCAAGGCGACGAUCUGUAGCGGGUCUGAGAGGAUGAUCCGCCACACUGGGACUGAGACACGGCCCAGACUCCUACGGGAGGCAGCAGUGGGGAAUAUUGGACAAUGGGCGGAAGCCUGAUCCAGCCAUGCCGCGUGUGUGAAGAAGGCCUUUUGGUUGUAAAGCACUUUAAGCGAGGAGGAGGCUCCUUUAGUUAAUACCUAAAGUGAGUGGACGUUACUCGCAGAAUAAGCACCGGCUAACUCUGUGCCAGCAGCCGCGGUAAUACAGAGGGUGCGAGCGUUAAUCGGAUUUACUGGGCGUAAAGCGUGCGUAGGCGGCUUUUUAAGUCGGAUGUGAAAUCCCUGAGCUUAACUUAGGAAUUGCAUUCGAUACUGGAAAGCUAGAGUAUGGGAGAGGAUGGUAGAAUUCCAGGUGUAGCGGUGAAAUGCGUAGAGAUCUGGAGGAAUACCGAUGGCGAAGGCAGCCAUCUGGCCUAAUACUGACGCUGAGGUACGAAAGCAUGGGGAGCAAACAGGAUUAGAUACCCUGGUAGUCCAUGCCGUAAACGAUGUCUACUAGCCGUUGGGGCCUUUGAGGCUUUAGUGGCGCAGCUAACGCGAUAAGUAGACCGCCUGGGGAGUACGGUCGCAAGACUAAAACUCAAAUGAAUUGACGGGGGCCCGCACAAGCGGUGGAGCAUGUGGUUUAAUUCGAUGCAACGCGAAGAACCUUACCUGGCCUUGACAUACUAAGAACUUUCCAGAGAUGGAUUGGUGCCUUCGGGAACUUAGAUACAGGUGCUGCAUGGCUGUCGUCAGCUCGUGUCGUGAGAUGUUGGGUUAAGUCCCGCAACGAGCGCAACCCUUUUCCUUAUUUGCCAGCGGGUAAUGCCGGGAACUUUAAGGAUACUGCCAGUGACAAACUGGAGGAAGGCGGGGACGACGUCAAGUCAUCAUGGCCCUUACGGCCAGGGCUACACACGUGCUACAAUGGUCGGUACAAAGGGUUGCUACCUCGCGAGAGGAUGCUAAUCUCAAAAAGCCGAUCGUAGUCCGGAUCGCAGUCUGCAACUCGACUGCGUGAAG